RNAcentral lists this ribosomal RNA (253 nucleotides) under uncultured bacterium. RNAcentral's name for it is "partial 16S ribosomal RNA". It matches the Rfam family "Bacterial small subunit ribosomal RNA", at positions 524 to 776 of the family's 1533-position model. The record is from RNAcentral.
UACGGAGGGUGCAAGCGUUAUCCGGAUUCACUGGGUUUAAAGGGUGCGUAGGCGGACUAAUAAGUCAGUGGUGAAAGCCUGAUGCUUAACAUCAGAAUUGCCAUUGAUACUGUUAGUCUUGAGUAUGGUUGAGGUGGGCGGAAUGUGUCAUGUAGCGGUGAAAUGCUUAGAUAUGACACAGAACACCAAUUGCGAAGGCAGCUCGCUAAGCCAUAACUGACGCUGAGGCACGAAAGCGUGGGGAGCAAACAGG